GAAGGUAUAGUUCAGCGGUAGAGCACAUGCUUACAUAUACGAGGUCCUGGGUAAAAUCCCCAGUAUCUCCA
This 71-nucleotide transfer RNA is filed under the name Camelus bactrianus (Bactrian camel). It matches the Rfam family "tRNA". Rfam says of the family: Transfer RNA (tRNA) molecules are approximately 80 nucleotides in length. The record is from Rfam by way of RNAcentral. Lineage: Eukaryota; Metazoa; Chordata; Mammalia; Artiodactyla; Camelidae. RNAcentral also lists the same sequence under 2 other names.